GGCUUCUUACUGCGGCUUCAUACUGAGGGCCGAGCCGAGGCGGCGCGGGUGCAGGAGCAGGACUUACGGCAGUGGGGGCUGACAGGGAUUCACCUACGCUCUUACCAGCUGGAGGGAGUAAACUGGCUCGCCCAGCGCUUCCAUUGUCAGAAUGGCUGUAUCCUGGGAGAUGAGAUGGGCCUGGGGAAGACCUGCCAGACUAUUGCUCUCUUCAUUUAUUUGGCAGGAAGAUUAAAUGAUGAAGGGCCAUUUCUGAUUCUUUGUCCCUUGUCUGUUUUGAGCAACUGGAAAGAAGAAAUGCAGAGAUUUGCUCCAGGUCUUUCCUGUGUAACAUAUGCAGGCGACAAGGAGGAAAGAGCCUGCCUUCAGCAAGACCUGAAACAGGAGUCACGUUUUCAUGUGCUACUGACUACCUAUGAGAUUUGCUUGAAAGAUGCAUCAUUUCUAAAAUCAUUCCCUUGGAGUGUUCUUGUUGUGGAUGAAGCUCACAGGUUGAAAAACCAAAGCUCCCUGCUGCAUAAGACCUUGUCAGAGGUAAACUUACAGUGUAGCCUUAGUUUUUACAUAACCCCUUCUUUUUAAAUAGACAUUAUAUUUUAGAGUAAUUUUAGAUUCACAACAAAAUUGAACAGAAACUACAGAUGUUUCCCAUGCAUAUGUCC
This 662-nucleotide small RNA is filed under the name Pan troglodytes (chimpanzee). Its description in RNAcentral is "retained intron". The record is from RNAcentral. Lineage: Eukaryota; Metazoa; Chordata; Mammalia; Primates; Hominidae.